Molecule: long non-coding RNA, 95 nt
Organism: Salarias fasciatus (jewelled blenny)
Lineage: Eukaryota; Metazoa; Chordata; Actinopteri; Blenniiformes; Blenniidae
Exons: 3
Source: RefSeq, a predicted model, not a curated record
CUGGGAUUGCCAGGCAUGGGUGUUAUUUGCAGAAGCUGAGACAAAGGGCAAGCAGAAGAGAGAGAGAGCGAGAGAGAGAGAGAGAGAGAGAGAGA